This 1517-nucleotide long non-coding RNA is filed under the name Oncorhynchus kisutch (coho salmon). RNAcentral's name for it is "lncRNA (ENSOKIG00005021061.1)". Lineage: Eukaryota; Metazoa; Chordata; Actinopteri; Salmoniformes; Salmonidae. The record is from RNAcentral.
CAGUUCAUCGUGGCCCUGUAGUUCGCCUCCUUCACCAAAGCUCUGUCAGGGACCUACAUGAAGAGUGCCAUCACUCAGAGAGACACUUUGACCUGUCCUGCUCUCUCAUCGGACUCAUAGACAGCAGCUUUGAGAUGGGUUUCAACAAUAACAUUGAGUUGCUUGAGAAUUCAUGUAGUAAAAACCAGAUACAGACUACAGUAUGAUCCAUUUUUUUGUGGUUCAAUCAGAGUCUGCUCUCAAUACUGUCCAGUUUUAUAGUUGUUCCUAUUAAUUGAUUGACUGGCGUUUGUCCAUGACUCUACUGUCAAACCCCUCACAUGGUUUUAUUUGAUGCUGUGUUGUUGCAGCCUAGUAUCCAAACUGAUAAACCAUUUUUAGUUGAAAAAAAACAGUGUUUAUAAUUUGCAAUUCCUGACUUCUGUAGUGUUGUGGUUUCUUGCAGGUAACCUGCUGUUCCUGGCUGUGGUCAGCCAUUUUGGGGCGAAGCUGCACCGGCCCAGGCUCAUUGCUAUGGGCUGUUUCCUCAUGGCUGUAGGAUCCUUCCUCACAGGCCUGCCACACUUCUUCAUGGGACGGGCUAUCAGGAGAGCUACCCAGUCCCAGAGGGCCAUCGUGGCUUCAUCAGUGAUGCCAGACUUCUGCAGAUGCAGAGAGCUGAGAGAGAGACCAUGGAAGCAAAGCAAAGAAAGAUAAGUGCUAUCCAUGAGAAUUAUGUCCGGACUGCUCUCAUCGGGGUUGGCAGCACCUUCGCGCACCACUUCGUCCCCUCUAUUCAGUGCAUUCCGUGGCCGAAAGCUCCACCGAGGCCUUUGCCACGAAGGCUUGAGCACAUAGCUCUGGCCCCACUGAAGAACGUGGUGGGGGUGGACGGUACCCAAGUUCGACCCGGAUCUCACUCUCUGGAGUCCAUCCAGGUAAAUAAGUCAUUCAGCAGCAGUAACGUGUGGCCUGUUCCCGUCCCUCCCACUGGAGCUCCCUCCAAGAGGGGCAAGAAGAAGAAGGGCAGGCGGGGAGUCAAAGCCCUGAAAGUCCAGUCGGAUCAGGGCUGUGCUGACAACAACGGACCCAUUGACCUGAUGGAGGAGGUGAGGGACAUCGAGCCUCACCUGAAGGAGGAGGCCUGGAAGGUGGUACAUGAGGUGAAGGCCAUGGGCAGGAGAAGUUUGGGCUCGGCCAUGUCCAUGGGGGAAAUAGCCACCAGCUCUCUGGGAAGCCUGAGCUCAGUGGAUAUGAACACCCCUGCGGAGCUCCGUGACUACUUGGAUGUUGGGACCCCGGUCAAGUUGCGUGACAGCCCACCCAGGCCUGCUCCCCCCCCCUACCAAGCCCAGGAGCAAACAGCCUCGGCCUAUAAGGUUCCUUAGCCUGCCAAAGGCUGCCACCGGCUCAGACAAUAAGGCAGCCAGUGAGCCAAAGGGCCAAAUAAAGAACCAGGCCAGAUUGCAGCCCCUGUCCAACCCAGAGCAGGCCCUGACUAAGACCUUCAAGCUGCUCCACUCUCCCUCUGAUGACUG